CACAGCUGAGGGGUGGAGCUGAGAUUUGAACCCAGAUGUCCUUUUGGGAAAAUUACUAUUUGCCAACUUUAUUCUCAAUGGUUACAGCACAUCUGUAAAGACCUUCAAAAGCAAACUGUGAAGACAAGGAGUGGUUAUCAUAUGGGAUAUUUCCGAACCCAAUGACUUCAGAAUCUGCAGAUUCUGAAAUGCAGCCUACACUGAGUCUAACAAGAACUACAAACGAUGCUAAGAUGUGUCUACAAAUGACGCUAAGGUUCUUUCCAGAUCUGAACCUCAAAAAGUGACCUCAAAGUAAUGUGGUGGAUUCAAUAAUGGAUUAAAAGAAAAAGCCAUUAAGCCUCCAGAAACAAGAACUGAAAAUCACUUAGCAGUGGAGCCUGAGGGCAAAGACCAAGGACUUUCAGAAACUAUGAACAAUUAGUUAAAUGAGACUGAUAGAAUAUUGUUGAGUAGAAAGUCUCUGAGAAAAAUGAAGCCAGAAAUCAUUCAUUUGGGGGAGAAUUUUUUUUGUGGCUAAGUUGUUUAACCCAAAAAUAGAAAUCUGAUAAUAAAAGUUAUAAGAACAAUUUUCCUCACUGGCAGUUAAUAAUAAACAUAUUAAAUAUCACAUUUCUAUUGUGAUAAAUUACUAUAAUGUCAAAGCCUGAUAAGACUUUACCUUGUUAUCCACUGUCAUUCCUCUAAUUUUAGAAGGAUUAACCAACCAGUUCUUGCUAAAUUGUAGGCACACAUACAAAAAAAAAGUGAGUCUUGGUGAACACAGGAUGUCUAGCCAGCCUCAGGUUAUCUUCAGUCUUCACAUUCUUGACGUUCCAGGAAUGAUGCGCGAGUUUAGGUUGGUUCUAGGAUAGGCCCAGGGGCCUGGUUUGAUCUGGGAUCCCUGGGACCAUACCUAGAACAAACCCAAACAAAACCAAAUUCCUUGGGAGUGCUUUCAGCUCAGGUAGACUUCUGGGCUUUCACUCAUAUGGACCUCCAGGGCUGUACCAGGACCACACGCCAAUCUUUAAGGGAUAGGAGUUACAUUUCUGGAGCUUUCUGUACGUUGCCAGAUGCUAGUACUGUGGCUGAGUAAGCAUUGUUUAAGUCAUGAACAGAAGGUACAGGUUGGUACAAUAAAAGUGCAGAAAACACUAUUAUUUAGA
Molecule: long non-coding RNA, 1148 nt
Filed under: Equus caballus (horse)
Lineage: Eukaryota; Metazoa; Chordata; Mammalia; Perissodactyla; Equidae
Description: lncRNA (ENSECAG00000045877.1)
Source: RNAcentral